AUGAUGCUCUGUUUAUUUCUUCAGGGGAAGCCGAUUGUUGAAAAUACUCGUUCUUGUCGAUGUGAAUGCCCAGCCCUCAUGAGAUUACUCCGAUCCAAGGACAACGGGUGGUACAUAGCUGAGCAUCGAGAUGUGCACAACCAUGCUUUGACACAAACCUACGGCCAAACAAUACACUGGCCGUCACACAAGCAUAUUGAUGUCUACAGCAGAGACCUGGUCAAGCAGUUGCGACAAAACAAUGUCAGCCUCGCAAAGGUGUAUAGCAUCAUUGGUAGCUUCUUUGGGAGGAUGGAGAAUGUACCAUUCACGAAAAGAGCAUUGAGAAAUUUAUGUGGCAAGAUUAGCCAUGAGCAGUCCGAAGAUGAUGUCAGGAAAACAAUGGAAGUGUUCCAGGAGCUGUGUUCAAAGGAUCCACAAUUCACAUACCGGGUUCAAGCUGACAGUGAGGGCAGAAUAAGCAACUUGAUGUGGGCUACUGGCAACAGCAGGCUGCAGUACAACUUCUUUGGAGAUGUAGUUACAUUUGACACAACUUAUCGGACCAACUUGUACGACAUGCCGUUUGGCUUGUUCGUUGGGGUUAACAGCCAUUUUCAGAUCAUCAUACUUGCGGGGGUGCUAGUUAAACACGAGACAGUGGAGACAUUUGAGUGGGUAUUCUCGGAGUUUGUUAGGAUAAUGGGUGGCAGGGCGGCGCAAACAAUCCUGACUGAUCAAAACAGGGCGAUGGAGGUCGCAAUUAGUAAUAUGUUGCCUGACAUGGCUCACCGCUGGUGCAAGUGGCAUGUGCUUAAGAAGAUACGUCACAAAUGGGCAAAGCCAUUUUUCAAGGGUGUAUUCUGUGCAAAGAUGAUUAGUACCCAACGGAGUGAAAGCGCAAACCAAAUGUUGAAGAACUACGUGCCUCCUGGAUGCCCAAUGCAU
This 927-nucleotide ribosomal RNA is filed under the name Triticum aestivum (bread wheat). Its description in RNAcentral is "partial small subunit ribosomal RNA". The record is from RNAcentral. Lineage: Eukaryota; Viridiplantae; Streptophyta; Magnoliopsida; Poales; Poaceae.